UCGUAGUACAGUAACGAGUCUCUCCAAAGAAACCGCUUCAGAAGUUUCUCUUUUUUCUCCACCCUCUGACCCUUUGAUUAUCCUUGACCUGACUAAGGGGUCUAAGGAUUAUUGAACUAGUUCUCUGAAAUUUCGCUUGUAAAUUCUGCAUAUGGAGAGGCGGCCUCACAGCCACGUUGAUAAUUGGUUUGGAACGUAUCAGUAGGUCUGACUGAAGGUUAGAACUGAAGCAGGAGGAGCCCUAUUUUAACAUCCUGUUACACAGAAGACUGGUAUCCAAAAUAGAGAACUUGUGCAAAUCAAAAGGAAAAAGACAAUCCAGUAUUUUAAAAAUGGGCAAAGGAUAUGAAGGGGCAAUUCACAAAGAUGAACCUUAUCCGGCAAUGAACAUAGAAAAGAUGCUGAGCAUGCCACGUUUCCUGCCCAGACAGAACUCCCAGAGGCUGGGGCAGCCUCUGUCUCUCCUCUUUGGGAUUGACUUCUGUUGGAAGAUUGUUUAUUUAAUUUGGAAGGUUAUAAUAAUUAUCAAAGCCAUUCUGAGUCUUCCAUAAUGUUGUGUGUCUCAAAAACUCAUUAUAGAACUUAAAUUUGUCAUGGGUGGUGGAACCAAAUCCCAGUUCUUGGGGUUUUUCAUGGGAGGCUGUGAACUCACCUCUGGCCAGAGGAGGAGAUGGAUGCCCAGAAGUCAGGACUGAGCAAAACGAAGGCCACCGGAAUGAUGGAGGAAGCCACAGAAAAGAGCACUGAUCUCGGAGCCCAACACCAAAGUGCUGUUAUCUUGCCUUGAUUUUAAAGGCAAUGUCUGCCUGUUGGAGUUGUCGUGAGAAUUAAAUGAUGGGGUAGGCAUGGGAGUGAACUGUAGACUCUAAAAGGGCCGUACGCGUGCAAGGUUUUCUUAUACAGAGCAUAGUCAGCCAUGUCUUAAAAAUAGAUUCUCCUUUUUUCCAUUAUUAAAUGAAGUCAGAUUCAUGAAAGAGAGUUUUGAAAAUACAAGCGAGUAGGAAGAGGAAAACACUCAGUCCCACCAGUCAGAGCAACCACACAACACUGUAAUCUGUGUCCUUUGGUCAUUAUACUAUGCGAAGGCUUGGCCUUAUUUUGUCAUACUCUUGUAAACAUAUGGAACAUAGAUGUGUG
Molecule: long non-coding RNA, 1137 nt
Filed under: Equus caballus (horse)
Lineage: Eukaryota; Metazoa; Chordata; Mammalia; Perissodactyla; Equidae
Description: lncRNA (ENSECAG00000049255.1)
Source: RNAcentral